GCCAUCUCAGGGCCCGCCGUUCCCAGGUGCGGCGCGGGUGCCCGCGAGCGCUCCGGGCGAGGAAGGGAGGACGGGGACCCAGACCCUCCCAAGGCUGAUGAGACGUUGCAGGACCACGCUGUUUCCCAAAUGUAAACUUGAAAACGAAGGGAACGAAACUUUUCAUAGAUUUUGUUCCUCAGAGAAGGGUGUGCUGAGGAACCCCCUCACCCAAGGACAGCGCGGGGGCAGCCCUCUCCCCGCCCCGCAGCGCCAGCCUGGGCUCGGUUAGUUUUUUGUCUCCUUCAAGGGAGGGAUUGCAGUGUCGCCGCUGAAGUGACGUCUCGGCUCACGUCGCGGUUAUUACCGAGGGGUUCCGGGGAACCCGAGGCUUACAGAUGAAGUGUGACCGAAGCUGAGGGGUGGUUGACAUUAAAACCCAGAGGUUCAACCUCCAGAACAUCCCUGGCCCCAGCAACCGCUUCUUGGUAUGCUUUGCACCACCUGUUCCUCAGUGGGAGGCACGGAAAAGGACACUUCCCAAAUUGCACGUGCAGUUUGCAGAGCCUCCCCGACCCAUCCCUUAUUUCCUUAUCAAUAAUUUGCGUGGGAUUGUCUCUCAAGAAUGUAAGUGUGUCAGGAACCCUGACACUGUCAUGAAGAGCAAGAAGGAAAAACUCAGAGAAUUCAAACUCAGCUGGAAACUGCUGGAGGAGCUGCCAGACGCAAUCAAGGAAGAGGAGAAACACUGGGGCCUGAAAAAAGAGAGCAUGAAACAUACCUGUAUGCACGGUGCAGCGGAAAAGGGGAGAAACGGAAAUCUCUCCACGAUGCAGACACAAGUACAGGUAUGUUUAUGUGCACGUUCUGGGGUGGGGGUGGGAGGCCCAAGGAAAAGAUCUCAC
Molecule: long non-coding RNA, 884 nt
Organism: Myotis myotis
Lineage: Eukaryota; Metazoa; Chordata; Mammalia; Chiroptera; Vespertilionidae
Exons: 3
Source: RefSeq, a predicted model, not a curated record